Non-coding RNA from Zootoca vivipara (common lizard), 11264 nucleotides. Lineage: Eukaryota; Metazoa; Chordata; Lepidosauria; Squamata; Lacertidae. The record is from RefSeq and is a predicted model, not a curated record.
CUCCUCUUGCCUCACCUCCUCCUCCUCCUGCCGCGGCUCAGCCUCAUGAACGUGAGCUCAGCAGCGGCUCAGCCUCACGAACCUGCAACUCUGAGGCUUUACGCACUUCUCCUAAAACAGACACCCGCUGCCUCACGCUGCACGGGAAAUGCUUUUUGCCCCUGGGUCCCUUCAUGCUCUUUUCUGGCGCUGAAUCAAGGCGGCGACCCCCCCCCUCCCUUUCUUUCUUCCUCUCUCUCGUUCUUAUUCUUUCUUUCCCUCUCCAUCCUUCCUUCUUUAUCUCUGUCUUCUCUCCCUCUUUCUUUUUCUUUCCUUCUUUAUUCCUUCUUUCCUACUCUUCUUUCUCUCACCUCUUUCCUUCCUCUCUCCCUCCUGCUCCCUCUUUUCUUUCUUUCUUUCUUCCUUACUUCCUUCCUUUCUUCCGUCCUUCCCAUCUUUCUUCCUCUCCCUCAUUCUUAUUCUUUCUUUCCCUCUACUUCCUUCCUUCUUUCUCCCUUUCCGUCUUCUCUCCCUCUUUCUUUUUCUUCCCUUCUUUAUUCCCUUCCUUAUUUCCUACUCUUCUUUCUCUCCCCUCUUUCCUUCCUUCCUCUCUCCCUCCCACUCCCUCUUUCCUUCCUUCCUUCCUUCCUUCCUUCCUUCCUUCCUUCCUUCCUUCCUCCCCUCCCCUCCCCUCCCCUCCCCUCCCCUCCCUUCCCUUCCCUUCCCUUCCCUUCCCUUCCCUCUCCCUCUCCUCAGAAACAUAGGAUGCUGCUUUAUACUUCUGGCCCUAAACCCUGGAACCAGGAGAGCAGCUUCAGUGAGUCAACCUCAGCCAGUCCCUUUGGUGAAGGGUGGUGGCUCACUGGCAGAACAUCUGUCCUGCAUGCAGAAGGACCCCAGCAUCUCCAGGUACUAGUAGCUCUGCAAAGGUCCUGCAUGAAACCCUAGCGAGCCUCCACCACCCAGUGCACUUACCAAAAAUCAUUUUUCAAUAAAUUGUACAAUAAUUGUACAUUUGAAUAUCUACUUGCCAUUAUUCUGACUAUGUUUCUGCUUUCAGAGCUAGUUAUUACUUACAUUAUUACAAAAAAACAGUAAUAAUUGAAUGCAGUGACAAUAAUUUAUGAUAAUAAAGAGUGGACACAUAGUCCUACAGAUACAACCGGCCCUUUGAGGGUGACCAAACUGCUGAUGCGGCCCCCGAUGAAUUUGAGUUUGACACCCCUGUAUGUAUGUCAUGAUUUCCCCUUCUGCUUAAGUGGCAGUGAGCAACAGUGGGGAAUCCUGAGCGAUGCUACAAUUGAGUGUGAUCCAUCAUAGCUUCUGAAAGAAAUUUGAUCAGCUCAGAUAGCAACUAUUGCUCAUCAGAAUUAUGGUAGCAUUUUAUCACUCCAAAUAAGUUGGACUUUCUACCAAGCUUAGGUGGAGCUCCACAAAAACAGCAUUCAGCAUACAGUGUUCAAAAUGAUGUUGUGCUUUUGUGCUAACAGUGUAUGAACAAAUUCUUUGUUGCAUAUACUUUUAAAAGUAGAAGUACUUGAAGCAUCCUUUUAUAUUAAGAUGAAACUUGUUAUUUCUUCAUUGUUGUGAAAUUUUAGCUAUUUUUUAAAAUAAACCGCAUAGCUCAAAAGUACACACACUAACGAUUUUCUAGUUUUAUGGUGGUCAACAUAAGAUUCACCAUUAAUGUUAUGUACUGAAUUACGAUAACUUACAGCAGGAACUUGUUUACUUUUUCCAAUGAUAGCACUGGUUCUCUCAAACUUUGUCUUACCUGCCCACAAAGGCACGUAAGAGAUUAAAUGUGAACUCAUAACAUAGAUGCCCUUGAAAAGAGCCAGCCUAUUUGGCAGAGAUCUACAGCUCUGACAUUACUAUAUCUUUUUUAUAGUUUCACUGGUUUCUUUAUUUUAGACUCUUAAAAGACAACAACAUUUUCAGCAGGUGAUUACAAUUACAAUGGUAGAUUUCUAACACAGAAUUUUUUCUAGGCUUUUUUUAUUGGCUAUGCUCCAAAGAUCUCUGUGGGAACUUUGAUGUCUGCACAGACUAACACAUGAAAAGCUUUCUUUAGUCACUUUAAGCAGCAUCAGUGUCAUGUGAUGGAUACAGAGGGAGAGCAAUCUUUGCUAAUGAAGUGAAUUGAUUACCACCUGAAUUAGGUAGGAAGUCUGUAAAGCCUAGAUGAAAAUUAUAUAAAAACAUUGGCUAACGAUCACAUACCAAAGAUGAAAACCUGUGAAACAGGAUGAAUAUUGCCAAUACUAAAUAUUUCCCUUAAGGACGUAGAGUUAGGAGGACACUGCAGACACAUGCAUAGUAAAAGAGAGUUAUGGAAAGAUGGUUUGCAAAGUGACAUGACUGGUGUAUUGAUGAAGCUUUACGAAGGAGCAGAAGCUGAAGUGCAUUGUUUCUCAACAUCUGUACCAAUUUCCAGAUAAUAUUGCUGCCUAUAAGGACAUUCUGAUUUAGAACUAAUCUGUUGUAACAUUCUCUGCUCAAAAUGUUUCAUCUAUUGCCUUUAAAAUGUACGAUGCCUUCUUUUGAUUCUGAACAAAAGUGAAAGACAAAUUUUCAGCAGUAUCUGAAAGGGUUAUAUAGAAACAUCACAUAGAAAGGAAAGCUUUAGUUGUGAUCAAUCUGGCCAUGACAAUUUGGUUAUAUAACCCCCAUGCCUUCUGGAUGGAACAUCAAUAUACAAUUUUAGGGAAACAAAGAAUACAUGGGCUAGUGUGCAUUGAAUACAGAAAGGCAUUUUAAAAAAAUUGAAUGUUCAGUACAGUAUUUGAAACAGAAUGUCCCCAUUGUUUGCAGUUUGACGCUUUCUUUUAAAAUUCUCACAAAGCACGGUUUUCCCUCAUUCCAUGGAUUCAUUCCAUUGUUGCCAGCAGAUAGCUGAAUCUUUUAUAUACUUUUUGCUUUUCAACUGGAAAUAAAUGUCAAGCCGCUUCAUGAAAGCUGCACUAAAUCCUCACCCUACGUACAUUCUCUCUUCUUAGAUAUCUAGAUAAUAUUUGUUCGGGUAUGGUUGUUGCCUUCUCUUUUGUCUAAGAGGCAGGUGGCCAGUUUAACAUUAUUUUAACAUAUCCCUUUAAUGUAUUGGUGAAUGAUAAAAUACAGAAUUAUUCUUUCAUUUAAACUAUACCUUGAAAACAAGAGUAUGUAUGUCAUAGGAGAUAAAAAGUUAGAAUUAAUAUUGAUUUCAGUUGUUAAUAUUUAUAGUUGCACUGUGAAGGUCCAUCACUCUUUAUAGCUGUAUAUGCAUCGUUUUUAUAUAGGCAAAACAUGGCUGACAGGUCUGUCAACUAGUUACAUUAAACGGCUUGUGUGUGUUUGGGUGCAUUCAGAAUUUAUGGAAUACAGUGGUACCUCUACUUACGAAUUUAAUGCGUUCCAAACGCUCAUUUGUAAGUAGAAAAAAUUUGUAAGUCGAAUCCCAUAGGAAUGCAUUGGGAGAAAAAAUUCAUAAGUAGAAAAAAUCCUAUCUAAAAAUUCGUAAGUAGAAAAAAUCCUAUCUAAACCGCAUCCAAGAUGGCGGACAGAGCUCCAUUCGUAAGUAGAAACAUUCGUAAGUAGAGGUACCACUGUACAUGGUUGGGGCAAAUGGCUAAGAUAGAACAAUCUAUUAAAAUUGCAACCAAUGAAUUGCCAGAAAUGCUGAGCAGGUUCUGGUCAUGGUGUGUCCAGUGGGUCAGAGCUGCCCUCCUGACACUGCUACUUACUUGGAUGGGAUUGAUGUGGGGCAGCAGGGAGGUUGGGGCAAAGUGGGUUCUUUCCUGGUGCACCCAUGAGGCCGCAAUGUUGCUGCUGCCCAUUUGUGCCAGUGUUGGCACGACAGACCCAGGGCGCCCCCUCACUGCUGAUGGGGUCCGUUGAUGUUUGGCAAUCCAGCCAUUGCGGCACUUGUAGAUCCCAUUGAUUUCAUGUGCGGAAAUUAAAUAGGUGUAGUGCAUCAGCACUAGUCUAUUGUGUAUUAACACUUGUACAAUAAGCACUUUGUAUACUGAUAUUUGAUACUACAGAUAUUUGGUAUAGCAUUGAGACCAAGAAAGAUCAGUGCUCUUAAUCCACUACAGAACUUUUAAAGACUAAAAAGAAUGAUAUUUUUAUAGACACGUAUCCUUGAUAAAGAGCCCGUUUUAUCUUCGGUUGCGUUUUGAGUGUUUUAAGAGCUGAAUAAAUAGUUAGUGGGUGUUCCAUUGCAUGUGGAAAAAUGCAUUACCGUGUGAGUAAAAAACAGCUUCUGGAACAGCACCACUAAGAAAUGGAACCCAGUCUUAGGCUGUGUAUGCAGAAAGGUUUGGGCUUCAUUUUCAGGGCUCCCCUUAAAUUCUGUGAGAGAAAUCGUGCACAUGUUGCGGUGAAAUCACUAAGACGUCACUGUUUGUGUGGGUGGGAGCGAUUGGAUAACCACAACAACCUGAUUGGGUCCCUCGGUUGCUGGGGUAAUUCUGGCCAAUGGGUUGAGAGAAUUUGCAGCCGGGGGACCUAUUUAUACCGCUGCACAUUGCAUCGAGCUUCCUCUUAGCGCCUCGUGCAUCGGAAAACCCGCCCACCCUCCCUAUAUUUAGGGUCUUGCCAUGACCUUGCUAUGCCGUUGUGGGUCGUCUGCUUUUGGGGCAGGUGCCUGGUAGGAAUUUCCCCAUCUGGCUGAUUGGCUGGUGCCACUUGGGUUUCGCCUGCCGCGUAGCAAAUCGUCACAACUUUGUAAGGUUUGGUGGUUAGCCAUUGGUUCAAGGUGUGGUGGAGGGGAGGUUGUCACACCUGCCCUUCCCGAUGUGCAAAAGGGUAUUCCGUUAAAGGAAUCCAGGUGUUUGCCAUGCUUUUGUUCCAUCCCCUUCCAGAGCACCUGGGAGCAUUUUGGGGUGAGGUUGCGUCUCUGGUAGGACCAAUGCUGCCCCAGUUCGUUUACCCUUACUGACUUCUGCCAGUGUCCAGUUGUCAGUGCUGCCCUGCUGGAGGUGUAGGUGCAGCUAGUCGAAGCAAUGCCUAAGCCAGGCAUCCCCAAACUGCGGCCCUCCAGAUAUUUUGGCCUACAACUCCCAUGAUCCCUAGCUAAGAGGACCAGUGGUCGGGGAUGAUGGGAAUUGUAGUCCAAAACAUCUGGAGGGCCGAAGUAUGGGGAUGCCUGGCCUAAGCAAACCACUCACAUUCUGCAACCAAUAAAGUUGUGGCCAAAAUUAGGCCAAUAACCAUAAACAUUUAAUAUUGGUGUCAACUGUGUCUUUCUUGGGGGGGUCCACUUGGAGUAGGACUGACAUUGGAGACAAUCCAUUGAUAUCUCCAGGGACAGACGACAUGUUUCUCCUGCUAGCCUAGUGCCGUUUGUUCCUGAGUAUAUUCCUUAUAUUCCCCAGAUAAGUCCAUGGCUGCUAUUCUCUCUUUUGAGAAAAAGUAACCACCACCACCACAAUUUUGUUGUGCGGUCAGUGCAUACCCUUGGCAAUCAAUGCUUUUGUCUUCACCGAGAUGUACGGGUAAUUGUCAAUCACAUUGACAGGUGUUUUGCUAAAAGAGGGUCUUCAAAGAUUAUAGUCACAUUUUUACUUUUUGAAAUACAGAAACCCUAAGAAAUAUACAGUAUUUUCCCGUGUAUAAGAUGACCCCUGUUUAUUUAGCCCCAAAUUAAGAAAUAAAUAAUUGCAACAUUCCAUGUAUAAGACGACCUCCAAUUUUAAACUUAAAAAAUUGGGGGGGGGGAAUAUAGUCUUAUACACGGAAAAAUACAGUAAUCUUGAAUUUUAUUUUAUUUUGUUCUGCUUUUUUAAAUAAAGAAAUAGUUCUGUGUUUGAAAAGGACAGAUAUGUGACUUUUACAUAUAGGAAAGCUAGUGUACUUUCCCAUAAAAUUGGGAAAUGAAGAACACUGAUUUUAAUGCUAUGUCUUAAAAUGUUGUUAGUAUUGUGAAAGGGUUUGUUCAGAAUUGUCACAGUUGUUGGAAAAUAACUUAAAAAUCAUAGCCUGUAAGUGAAACAGAAAGCAACCAGCUAUAUUGAUGUUGUUCUCAGUUGUCAAGUAGCAGUUUAGAGGAAAAAAGAAAAUGUUGUUUCAGGUUGUUGUUGCAGCAUGUAUGUAUUUGUAGUGAUAACUUUAUAUAUCUGCAUAUAUCCAGUUCUUCAACUUGCUCUGACGAAAACAAGUAGGCUCUGGUAAACAAUUGAAUGCGUGAGUUCUUUAUAAUUAUGUAUUAAUUUCUGUCUGUGCUACAUAUAACGUGGAAGGGACUGAUGUAAAUGAAUAUUGGUUCUCUAGGUAGCUACCCUCCAAACAGUUUAAGUACAUCACCAUAAUUUAUUUAAAUGAAAAUUUGCACAAUGGAGUGUAAAUUUAUGCUGCAAAGGCCACAUAGUUGAACCUGAUGUGCAUGGCUCCGUGGCGGUGAGGGGAAGCAGGCCAGGUUGAGGGGACGUUUUGCUUGAGGUGAUGCCUGCAGGACUUCCCAUCAAGAGGCUCUGGCAGGUAAAAACCAGCUGGGUCUAAGAUAAUGAAAAAUAUUCCCAAGUCACUCUCUGUUGUCGGGGUCAAAUAACUGGACUAAUUUGUCAGAUGAGAAGCAACUGUUGUUCACAUAAUUUUUUUGCCUCUGAACUUUGAAUUAAUUAUGUGGAAGAUUAGUUGUACUCUCUUCCACUACAACAGAUAUUUGCGGUGGGAAAAACGGUCAAACCUUGGUUGUUGAAUGUAAUCCGUUCCGGAAGCCCGCUCGGCUUCUGAAAUGUUCAACAACCGAAUCACAGCUUCUGAUUGGCUGCAAUAACUUAUUGCAUUCAAGCGGAAGCCACGUCAAAUGUUUGGCUUCCGAAAAACGUUCAAAAACCGGAACACUUACCGGUACUUCCGGGUUUUCAGCAUUCGGGAGCCGAAAUGUACGAGAACAGAGGUGUUCAGGAACCAAGGUUUGACUGUAGCGGUUUAAGCUUUUGUUGCAUGUGUGCAAUGUAGUAUACUGAUUUAUUAUAUAAUUUGGAUGGGUACUCAACCAUGUUUUACACAGAGUUAAUCCAAUGAAAGGAAUGAACAUGAUUAAGUUUGGUCUAUUAAUUCCAGCAGCUCCACUCUGCAUUAAAUACCACCCUAGUUUAUAAUAGUAGAAUCAUAACAACUACUACAAAAUAACAACAAGAACAAGAACAACAUUAUAAGAGUAAAAAGGAAUUCAGAUCCUUAUUGGAAACAAUAUUCUGAAAUCACAGGUAGGUAGCCGUGUUGGUCUGAAGAAGUGUGCAUGCACACGAAAGCUCAUACCAAUGACAAACUUAGUUGGUCUCUAAGGUGCUAGUGGAAGGAAUUUUAAUAUUCUGAAAGUCUGCUGAAAUAAAACUGUAUAGUUUUGUCAACGUUAAACAUAUCACUUUGCAGUUACUCCAGUCCUGCAAAGACAUUGUGCACCUGGUUAGCUUUAAACAUGAGUCUCAUCAAUUAGUUUAACUAUUAAAAAAUGGAAACGGUAUUUGCUCCUGAAGACAGAUAUAGUACUGAUAGAAAAUGGAAGCUGCAACUUUAAAAUAGGUGUGAGGAACCCCAGCUGGUUUUACCCUCUCCUCCCAGUAUAAGAGAAUAACUGAAAGGGGAAAGGGCUUUGAUGGCGUGCAAAAUGUACCUUGGCCGGCUUCUUCCUCUACAACAAGUUCAGGUGUCUCACUAGAUAGGUUUGUGCUCCUGACAAAGAUGCAAACAGUGGGCAUGAAUUUUGCAUUUGCAAGUAUGCACUUGCUUUUUGAAGUGUCUGGGCUGAGCGAUACGGGUGGAGACGCUCCUUCAGGUCUACAUUAUUUGGGGUUGGAAGUCUUUUUGCUUUUCAGCACAGGGAGAGAUAAAAGGGUAUUGGGCAGUGUUGUUGUUUUUUUUAACCCAUUUUGAUACAAAACAUCCUUGGAGAAAAUGGUGAAGCUUGAGUGGAGUUACUAAUGCCACUGUUUCCAAGUGAAAUAGCUGUGCAUGUCUGUGAAGGUUGUAGAAUGGUGGGAGGGGCCCUCGCUACCACGAUAUUGGUCCCCCACAGCUUUCCACUGGGAUGACACAACCCUCAACCAGUCUGAAAAAGUUUACUCAUUCCUGUGCGUAAAUAAGUAAACGUAAAUAACCAUAGCCAUAUGUCCCUGUGUGUGUGUGAUUCCACAUAUGUGGGAAAAAUUAAUCCAGUUCCAGAGAUAUAAACGUACAAGAGCUUUUAUUAUAGUUGCUUUUCUGUCAAGGUAAAUGGUAGGAAAUGGGUAGGCUGGGUUUACAAAAUCUUAGGGGUUCCCAGUCCUGCAUGGGAUGGCAGCCUAAACCCUUUAUUUUCAAUGGUGUUGGUCACAGCAUAGGAUCAGGCUGUAAAUAUUUUGAAUACUUAUAACUUAACAUAGCUCAAGGGGAGAAUGCUUUUGACUAUUUCCAUGAGGGAUUCCAACAGCUUCGGUUCUAUUUAAAAGACUUCUGCUUUCCCCAGUGUGCAACUAUCAUUUCACUAUAAAAUAGUGGGGAGACUCUGGCCUACAGGCAAUGCUGGGCAAGUUAAAGCUGUGGCUGCGAAAGAACAGCCAGAAGCUUGUUUAUUAUUAUUAAUAAUCCAUCAUUGUUAUAAUUAUUAACUCCAAGGCUUCUUAGUUAUUCCUUUGUAGUUGCAGCUUGACCCCAGUUGAAUUCCGUGCUGUUUGAAUUGUGUGCUGUUCAGGUUUUAAAAGCUGUUUUCCGCAGGGAUCCCAUUCAUUUUGGAGCUCCCCAAGGAAUCUGAUUCCCACCAAAAAGCAGAGGUAUUUCUACAGUAGAAGGCCGAGUGUGUGUGUUUCAUGGCUAAGACUCGGUUGGAAGACGAGGAGAUACUCUGUCUACUUUUGGGGGAGGGCAGGAGUAAGGAUGAGAAAUAAGGCAUACUACUAUACACUUAACCUUCUGGAAGCUUAUCUCAGUUCUGUGGUUUAAAACUAAAACAAUUGGAAGAUCUGAACUACCCCUAUGAGUUCAGUUUUCAAAUCUUGCUUUUCUUCAAAGUAUACUUCCAGGCUUCUCUCUUUCUCAAUCUUAUUUUUUAUUUGUUUUGGUUGGAAUCGGAAGGUUAGCCGCUUUUUAAUCCAACCCUCGAAUGAAAUGAGGUUCCCAGCCCUUCUCUAUGGGUUUAUGUUCUUCACAGCACAAGUGUUUUGUCCAAUGUAACACAAGGAAUUUUAAACCCAAGAAAUACUAAGAAAGUACAGUACCUGCAAGUAAAACAAACCCAUUUCUUGCUGUGUUCUCCCCUGCGUCCCCUCAGAAAAAAAGCACUGGUUUUGUAUCUUAAAUGACGUUGCUUCUGCCAAUGUCUGUGUAUUUCAGAGUGUGCCAGUCACUGAAAAGGUCAGACAUUUAGAGCCUCUAAGGGGACUUUGUUGUCAGUUAAAUGUGCAUAUAUUCCUUAUGUGACCAAAUGUUGAAAAGUACUAACAAGCCAGUCCUGCUUGGUUAAUGGCAAUUUUGCAAAGUAUUGCAUGCUAAAAAAAAACAUUCCUUCAGCAACAUGUACUUCUUUCAUUAAAACCAACCAGCCCACCCAGUUUUAGCAAGUUAGCCAGAUCUUGGAAUUUUGUGUUUUUCAAAACCAUAUGAAGCUAUCCAUAAUUAUCAGAUAGCAGCACUAUUGCCAAAGUGUAUUGACAAUUGUCUGAAAAUUCCCACUGGCUUUAAUUGGAAGCUAUACACUGGGUCUUGCAUGCCAUUUCCCUCAUUCCUCUUGGUGCUCUGCAUUAUAGCUAAGCCAGGAAUAUUGAGUUAACAAGAACUAUGAAGCAGGUGCCUAUUUCUUACCUUUCAUCUUUCAGGGUGCCUGGAUUCCAUUUCUUGUCCAAGGCGUUUGAUAACUCUGUCACUUUUUCCUAAAUGCCAGCGUAUGUGAGAUCAGAAAGUAGUUAUGUGAAGCCAGCUUGUGUUGAACUGGAAGAACAUUUUUUUGUUGUUUAUUAAAACUUGUGCAUACUGCCUUUCAUCUUGUUAGAUCAGGAUGGCAUAUAACAUAAAAUCAAUACAAACAAACACAAAAACAAUUGUAAAAGCAACAGGAGAGAAGUGAAACAGAUUGAGAUUUGCUCAGAUUUUAAUGUUUAAAUUCCUGGGUGGGGAAAAAUUGUUUUUGUCUAGUGCAGGGGUAGUUAAUCUCCAGCGGGUAGACUCCAAUGUUCAUCUGCCCGUCAGCCUGGCCAGUGGUUGGGAAUGAUGGGAGUUGUCAUCUGAUGUGGAGGGGCCCAGGGGAGCCAGCCCUGGUCUAUUGCUGACAUUUUCUCUUGGGGAGGCCUUUCUACAACCUGGGCACUGCAUCCAUUCAAGGGACAGCUUCUUUUCCCUAAUGUGCAAUUGUGAAUUUAACCUUUCUGUGCCUACACUUUCCCAUUUGGAGAAUGGGAAUCCUGCCUAGCAGCUUAUUUGCAAAACAUAGUCUGAAGAUAUCUAAAUGACAAGUGCUAUGCAAGUGAUUAAUGGUAAUCUGAGUUUUAUUUCACAGAAUUGUAGAGUUGGAAGGGACCCCCAAGGGUCAUCCAGUCCAGCCCUGCGAUGCAGGAAUCUCAGCUAAAGCAUUCAUGACUGAUGGUCAUCCAACCUCUGCUUAAAGGGUUGUUGAUAUUGAUGACACUUUCAUACUUCAGAUCUUUACCUAUGGGGUGGUGCAGCGUUCUUGCAACAAGGGAUAGCCUCCUACCAUUGAGAGCGCCUACCUUAGUGCAUGGGUUGCGUGCCUUGCCCACUGAGAUAUGCCAAUCCCCGCGCCCUGGGCCAGGCCAUGGGCACUGAGAUGCCCUGCAGGUCAGCCUAGCUGUCGUCUUCAUAUGCUGUAAAAAGACUCCAAUUUUUCAGUGUGUCAACAAACUUGCCCAUGAAAUCUGUUGAGCAGAGAAUGUUGUAAGUUUGGGCUUUAUUUACUUGUAUUUGUUUUUAAGAAACGGUGAGUUUUUUGUUUGUUUACAUACUGUUUACAAGGACACAGGUUUAUUUUUAAUAUAUACAACAGUUGAGAUAUUUAUUGCAUAUGCUAUUUGAAAGAUGUUUUAUGUGUUUUGCACCUUUGGGAUAUAUUGUUACAUUUCUGUAUUCAGAGUAUUUGGGUGGUUCUGUUAAUAGUAAUUUUAUGACUUCUAAGUGACCAGUUUUUUGUGCCUUUUUAUUAUUGGAUGCAUGAUUGCCUAUUUAUUAUUGUAUGGAAGUCAUGGAGAUGUGUAUUUUUGUAUGCUGCUGGAAGCAAUGGUUGAUUUUAUUGUACAUUUAUGAGAUAUGCCUCCCUUAAAGGGCACUCGAUGGAUCUUCCUUCUGAAAUAAACUAAUACAUACAAUCUCAAUAA